Molecule: ribosomal RNA, 465 nt
Filed under: uncultured bacterium
Lineage: Bacteria
Description: partial 16S ribosomal RNA
Rfam family: Bacterial small subunit ribosomal RNA
Source: RNAcentral
CCUACGGGAGGCAGCAGUAGGGAAUCUUCCACAAUGGGCGAAAGCCUGAUGGAGCAACGCCGCGUGGGUGAAGAAGGUCUUCGGAUCGUAAAACCCUGUUGUUAGAGAAGAAAGUGCGUGAGAGUAACUGUUCACGUUUCGACGGUAUCUAACCAGAAAGCCACGGCUAACUACGUGCCAGCAGCCGCGGUAAUACGUAGGUGGCAAGCGUUAUCCGGAUUUAUUGGGCGUAAAGGGAACGCAGGCGGUCUUUUAAGUCUGAUGUGAAAGCCUUCGGCUUAACCGGAGAAGUGCAUUGGAGACUGGGAGACGUGAGUGCAGAAGAGGAGAGUGGAACUCCAUGUGUAGCGGUGAAAUGCGUAGAUAUAUGGAAGAACACCAGUGGCGAAGGCGGCUCUCUGGUCUGUAACUGACGCUGAGGUUCGAAAGCGUGGGUAGCAAACAGGAUUAGAUACCCGGGUAGUC